This 68-nucleotide transfer RNA is filed under the name Macrostomum lignano. It matches the Rfam family "tRNA". Rfam says of the family: Transfer RNA (tRNA) molecules are approximately 80 nucleotides in length. Their secondary structure includes four short double-helical elements and three loops (D, anti-codon, and T loops). Lineage: Eukaryota; Metazoa; Platyhelminthes; Macrostomidae. The record is from Rfam by way of RNAcentral.
GGGGUUGUAGCUUAGUGGUUAGUUUUGGACUUAUGAUUUAAAGGUUGGGGGUUCGAUUCCUGAUCCCA